GCGCAAGAUUACCACCUUGGAGCUGCUCUCCAACCGAAGGCUUGAGCUGCUCAGACACAUUCGAGUCUCUGAAGUGACAACUUUCUUGCAAGAAUUGUUCAAAACUUGGAGUACCGCGGAGAAAAGGGAGAGCAAUAAUAGCGACGGAGUUUUGGUGGAGUUGAAGCAGUGGUUUGGGGACAUGACCUUGAACGUGAUUCUUAGAAUGGUGGCUGGAAAGCGUUAUUCGGUUGCUGCCGAUGAGGAUGAGAAGACAGAAGCACGUAGGGUUCAGAGUGCAUUGAAGGAGUUUUUUUAUUAUGUGGGGCUGUUUGUGGUGGGUGAUGUGGUACCUUAUCUUCGGUGGUUGGACUUGGGUGGGCAUGAGAAGGAGAUGAAGAGGAUUGGGAAAGAACUGGACGCCAUCGUUGGAGGUUGGGUUGAAGAGCACAAGAGAAGGAGGGCAAGAGGUGAUGCUAAAGGGGAACCAGACUUCAUAGACGCCAUGCUUUCUGUGCUUGAUGGUGCAGACCUUGGCGGUUUUGAUGCUGACACAGUCAACAAAGCCACAAGCUUGGUAAUCAAACAUAUGCCUAGCUUAAUCUAUAUAAUUUAGCUUUAUAUAAAUAAUUAAUCAAAUAAAUUGUACUUUUGCAGAAUAUGAUUGCAGGAGGUAGCGAUACCACCAUGGUCACAUUAACAUGGGCAAUAUCACUAUUAUUGAACAACCCUCACGUGCUUAAAAGCGCCCAAAACGAACUGGACACUGAAAUAGGCAGACAAAGAGUUGUGAGUGAGUCAGAUAUAAGCAAGCUGGUCUACAUCCAAGCCAUAGUGAAAGAAACGCUGCGUUUGUACCCAGCAGCACCAUUAUCUGGACCACGAGAGUUCACCAAGGACUGCAACAUAGGCGGCUACCAUGUCUCAAAGGGCACCCGGUUGAUCACGAACCUUUGGAAGAUCCAAACCGACCCGAGAAUAUGGCCCGAUCCAUUGGAAUUCAAGCCGGAGAGGUUUCUGACCACCCACAGGGAUGUUGAUGUUAAGGGAUUGCACUUUGAGUUAAUUCCAUUUGGAAGUGGGAGAAGAGCAUGCCCUGGCUUGGCAUUUGCCCUUCAAAUGGUGCAAUUUACGUUGGCUAGUUUUGUGCAUGCGUUUGAAAUCUCCAACCCCUCGAGUGCACCGAUUGAUAUGACUGAGAGCUUUGGACUGACAAACAUCAAGGCGACCCCUCUUCAAGUUCUCAUCAAACCUCGUUUGCCCUCUCAACUUUAUGGAGAAAAUGAUAAAACAAG
RNAcentral lists this long non-coding RNA (1274 nucleotides) under Prunus dulcis (almond). RNAcentral's name for it is "sRNA ncRNA". Lineage: Eukaryota; Viridiplantae; Streptophyta; Magnoliopsida; Rosales; Rosaceae. The record is from RNAcentral.